RNAcentral lists this ribosomal RNA (253 nucleotides) under uncultured bacterium. RNAcentral's name for it is "partial 16S ribosomal RNA". It matches the Rfam family "Bacterial small subunit ribosomal RNA", at positions 524 to 776 of the family's 1533-position model. The record is from RNAcentral.
UACGGAGGGCGCAAGCGUUGUUCGGACUCAUUGGGCGUAAAGCGCGUGUAGGCGGUCUGGUCAGUCGGGUGUGAAAUACCGGAGCUCAACUCCGGAACUGCAUUCGAUACUGCCAGGCUAGAGUCCCGGAGAGGGUGGUGGAAUUCCCGGUGUAGAGGUGAAAUUCGUAGAUAUCGGGAGGAACACCAGCGGCGAUGGCGGCCACCUGGACGGUGACUGACGCUGAGACGCGAAAGCGUGUGGAGCAAACAGG